AUUGAACGCUGGCGGCAGGCCUAACACAUGCAAGUCGAGCGGAUGAAUGGAGCUUGCUCCUGUAUUCAGCUGCGGACGGGUGAGUAAUGCCUAGGAAUCUGCCUGAUAUUGGGGGCUAACGUCCGUUCACGGGCGCUAAUACCGCAUCCGUCCUGAUGGUGAAAGUGGGGGAUCUUCGGACCACACGCUAUCUGAUGAGCCUAGGUCGGAUUAGCUAGUUGGUGGGGUAAAGGCGUACCAAGGCGACGAUCCGUAACUGGUCUGAGAGGAUGAUCAGUCACACUGGAACUGAGACACGGUCCAGACUCCUACGGGAGGCAGCAGUAGGGAAUAUUGGACAAUGGGCGAAAGCCUGACGCAGCCAUGCCGCGUGUGUGAAGAAGGUCUUCGGAUUGUAAAGCACUUUAAGUUGGGAGGAAGAGAAGUAAGUUAAUACCUUGCUGUUUUGACGUUACCAACAGAAUAAGCACCGGCUAACUUCGUG
RNAcentral lists this ribosomal RNA (484 nucleotides) under uncultured bacterium. RNAcentral describes it as "partial 16S ribosomal RNA". It matches the Rfam family "Bacterial small subunit ribosomal RNA", at positions 30 to 507 of the family's 1533-position model. The record is from RNAcentral.